RNAcentral lists this ribosomal RNA (97 nucleotides) under Treponema sp. The record is from RNAcentral. Lineage: Bacteria; Pseudomonadati; Spirochaetota; Spirochaetia; Treponematales; Treponemataceae.
GGGGGGAAAUACCCGUUCCCAUUCCGAACACGGAAGUCAAGCCCCCGUUCGCCGGUGAUACUGGGCGCGAGCCCGGGAAAGCAGGCUGCCGCCGGGC